AUUGAACGCUGGCGGCACGCCUAACACAUGCAAGUCGAACGGUAACAGGAGCUAGCUUGCUAGCUUGCUGACGAGUGGCGGACGGGUGAGGAAUACAUAGGAAGCUACCUCUUGGCGGGGGAUAGUCCGGGGAAACCCGGGGUAAUACCGCAUAAGCUCUACGGAGGAAAGCAGGGGACCUUCGGGCCUUGCACCGAGAGAUGCGCCUAUGUCAGAUUAGCUUGUUGGUAGGGUAAUGGCCUACCAAGGCGACGAUCUGUAGCUGGUCUGAGAGGAUGAUCAGCCACACUGGGACUGAGACACGGCCCAG
This 310-nucleotide ribosomal RNA is filed under the name uncultured bacterium. RNAcentral's name for it is "bacterial SSU rRNA". It matches the Rfam family "Bacterial small subunit ribosomal RNA", at positions 30 to 334 of the family's 1533-position model. The record is from RNAcentral.